Bufo bufo (common toad) is the source of this 203-nucleotide long non-coding RNA. RefSeq lists it as uncharacterized. NCBI's taxonomy places the organism in Eukaryota, Metazoa, Chordata, Amphibia, Anura, Bufonidae. The transcript is spliced from 3 exons. The record is from RefSeq and is a predicted model, not a curated record.
AUCGCAGGUCCUGCAGCCCCAGGAGGUGAGAUCUGCAGCAGGGGUGGCCGGCUGACCUUAUAUCACAAUUAGGAUGGAGAAGGACAGAGACCACAUGGCUGUAAGGAUAUUAGACCUCACACUGGAGAUCAUCUACUUGGUAACUGGUGAGGAUUACACAGUAGUGAAGAAGUCGUGUGGUGAGUGUGUGACACCCCGUGUGU